CAAACUGAAGAUCACCAU
This 18-nucleotide small nuclear RNA is filed under the name Arabidopsis thaliana (thale cress). RNAcentral's name for it is "snRNA_02153". The record is from RNAcentral. Lineage: Eukaryota; Viridiplantae; Streptophyta; Magnoliopsida; Brassicales; Brassicaceae.